Chenopodium quinoa (quinoa) is the source of this 1378-nucleotide long non-coding RNA. RefSeq lists it as uncharacterized. The transcript is spliced from 3 exons. The record is from RefSeq and is a predicted model, not a curated record. Lineage: Eukaryota; Viridiplantae; Streptophyta; Magnoliopsida; Caryophyllales; Amaranthaceae.
CCUCUUUUAUAUCGUAUUUGACCAAUCCUCGUGCCGACUCGGCCCAUGCUCAACUUUGUCCUCACUCAUGAGUAAGUCAAUCUCCACUCUCCACAUCCUUUCACAAGAAGUUCCUUAUUUCUUGGAGAUCCCAAACAAAUUAGAGGGCAUAGAGGAGAGAGAAAAACAGUGAAUUGGGGGGCAAAAGAGCAAUACCCAAGAAGAGUGUCUCCCAUUGCAGCACCAAGGCAGGGCCCUCUUUAGCGCCGGUGUCUCCGCGAUUGCAAUACUUGGUGUGUGUGAGUGUAGGAAGAAGGGUUUUUAUCUCAGCUCAUUUUAUUCCUAAUGCCGGCAAACUGUUUGUGUAAAUGCGUGAGAGAAGAAAAAAAAAUAAAUAAAUAACUUUAUAGAAUCCCCUUAAUUCCGAAACUUCUUACUUUCAACCCUUCUCUUUCACUGACAUUCUGGAUUGCUGUUCCCAAGAUUUACCCUUUUCUUUCUCUCUCCUCCAUUUUCACCUGACCCCACUUCACCUUCUUCUUAAAGGUUGAAAGUUAAACAUCUUUGUUAUGCAUCAGCUUAGAAAGUUUGCCUAGCGCUACAGUCUUGUCAAUCAUAUAAGCAUAUAUGUAUCAAGUAGGCGCGACAGCCACCAUGGAGCAACAACGGAGCUUGCUCAUGUUGGUGACCAAUGUGACGAUAUCCAUGGAUCCACCGCUACUUUCACAAGUAAGAAAUAGUUUGGUAACUUACUAACCUUAGUCGUUAUUAUUUAUUAACUACUGGUCUUUGUUUACAAUUAAGUAUGAAGGAAAAACCUAUCAUUAUGGUUUCAUUGAUUGGAAUGUAUAUAAUGUUUGCUGCCACACCAAACGGAUAAAGUGACCGUUCAACCCACUUCACGAGGAUUCUGCUUGUGACAAGACUGUUCUAACCUUUGUGUAUGUUUUCUUAUCCCAAAAAUUAAAAUAAAAUAAGGUUCAAAUGUACGCAGUUUUACUGUGUUGAUCCAUGAUGCAAUGACGGCGUAAUAAUCGAUGGCCACAAUAUCUGCACGAUUGCACGCAAUAUUUAAGGGAAUGCGGUGCUUAUAAUGCUUGUUUGAACACCAUGCAAGAGCAAGUUCACUUGAAUUUUCAAGACUGAUACUAUAAAUCUAUGCUACAAGUGGUUGUGUGCUAGCACAACAACUGAAAUUGUAUAAGAUAUGUACAUAUAUAUAUAUAUAUGGUCAAUUAAGAUGUUACAUAACUCAAGUAAUCAGAGUUCUUAGAUUUGUAAGAGCAUGUACUUUUAACGUAUCAACUUAUUAUUUUGUUUUACUAAUACACAAUUAAAUGUAUCAAUGGUUAAACUUGUUUUUUUAGAGAUUGCAAAAGUUAAAUAGUUCAAACACUCA